RNAcentral lists this ribosomal RNA (443 nucleotides) under uncultured bacterium. Its description in RNAcentral is "bacterial SSU rRNA". It matches the Rfam family "Bacterial small subunit ribosomal RNA", at positions 29 to 514 of the family's 1533-position model. The record is from RNAcentral.
AACGAACGCUGGCGGCAUGCCUAACACAUGCAAGUCGAACGAGACCUUCGGGUCUAGUGGCGCACGGGUGCGUAACGCGUGGGAAUCUGCCCUUGGGUUCGGAAUAACAGUUAGAAAUGACUGCUAAUACCGGAUAAUGUCUUCGGACCAAAGAUUUAUCGCCCAGGGAUGAGCCCGCGUAGGAUUAGCUAGUUGGUGAGGUAAAGGCUCACCAAGGCGACGAUCCUUAGCUGGUCUGAGAGGAUGAUCAGCCACACUGGGACUGAGACACGGCCCAGACUCCUACGGGAGGCAGCAGUGGGGAAUAUUGGACAAUGGGCGAAAGCCUGAUCCAGCAAUGCCGCGUGAGUGAUUGAAGGCCUUAGGGUUGUAAAGCUCUUUUUACCCCGGGAUGAUAAUGACAGUACCGGAGAACUAAGCCCCGGCUAACUCCGUGCCAGCAG